AGAGUUUGAUCCUGGCUCAGAACGAACGCUGGCGGCGUGGAUAAGACAUGCAAGUCGAACGAGAGAAUUGCUAGCUUGCUAAUAAUUCUCUAGUGGCGCACGGGUGAGUAACACGUGAGUAACCUGCCCCCGAGAGCGGGAUAGCCCUGGGAAACUGGGAUUAAUACCGCAUAGUAUCGAAAGAUUAAAGCAGCAAUGCGCUUGAGGAUGGGCUCGCGGCCUAUUAGUUAGUUGGUGAGGUAACGGCUCACCAAGGCGAUGACGGGUAGCCGGUCUGAGAGGAUGUCCGGCCACACUGGAACUGAGACACGGUCCAGACACCUACGGGUGGCAGCAGUCGAGAAUCAUUCACAAUGGGGGAAACCCUGAUGGUGCGACGCCGCGUGGGGGAAUGAAGGUCUUCGGAUUGUAAACCCCUGUCAUGUGGGAGCAAAUUAAAAAGAUAGUACCACAAGAGGAAGAGACGGCUAACUCUGUGCCAGCAGCCGCGGUAAUACAGAGGUCUCAAGCGUUGUUCGGAAUCACUGGGCGUAAAGCGUGCGUAGGCUGUUUCGUAAGUCGUGUGUGAAAGGCGCGGGCUCAACCCGCGGACGGCACAUGAUACUGCGAGACUAGAGUAAUGGAGGGGGAACCGGAAUUCCCGGUGUAGCAGUGAAAUGCGUAGAUAUCGAGAAGAACACUCGUGGCGAGGGCGGGUUCCUGGACAUUAACUGACGCUGAGGCACGAAGGCCAGGGGAGCGAAAGGGAUUAGAUACCCCUGUAGUCCUGGCAGUAAACGGUGCACGCUUGGUGUGCGGGGAAUCGACCCCCUGCGUGCCGGAGCUAACGCGUUAAGCGUGCCGCCUGGGGAGUACGGUCGCAAGAUUAAAACUCAAAGAAAUUGACGGGGACCCGCACAAGCGGUGGAGUAUGUGGCUUAAUUCGAUGCAACGCGAAGAACCUUACCUGGGCUUGACAUGUAAUGAACAACAUGUGUAAGCAUGCGACUCUUCGGAGGCGUUACACAGGUGCUGCAUGGCCGUCGUCAGCUCGUGUCGUGAGAUGUUUGGUUAAGUCCAGCAACGAGCGCAACCCCUGUUGCCAGUUACCAGCACGUGAAGGUGGGGACUCUGGCGAGACUGCCCAGAUCAACUGGGAGGAAGGUGGGGACGACGUCAGGUCAGUAUGGCCCUUAUGCCCAGGGCUGCACACGUACUACAAUGCCCAGUACAGAGGGGGCCGAAGCCGCGAGGCGGAGGAAAUCCUAAAAACUGGGCCCAGUUCGGACUGUAGGCUGCAACCCGCCUACACGAAGCCGGAAUCGCUAGUAAUGGCGCAUCAGCUACGGCGCCGUGAAUACGUUCCCGGGUCUUGCACACACCGCCCGUCA
This 1370-nucleotide ribosomal RNA is filed under the name uncultured bacterium. Its description in RNAcentral is "bacterial SSU rRNA". It matches the Rfam family "Bacterial small subunit ribosomal RNA". The record is from RNAcentral.